CCCCCCCCCCAAAUCCCCCCAUGGCCCUUUAAAUCCCCCCCCCCAAAGUCUGCACUGUCCCUUUAAAUCCUCCCCCCCCCCAUAUAUCAGUCAUUGGGGGGGGGGUCAUUAUUAAGGUAGGUCCUCCAACCCCCCCAUUUUGGGACCCCCCCCCCCAAACCCCCCCAUAUCCCUUUAAACCCCCCCAUUUUAUUACUCCCCCCCCCCCAAAUCCCCCCAUGGCCCUUUAAAUCCCCCCCAAAGUCUGCACUGUCCCUUUAAAUCCCCCCCCCAUAUAUCAGUCAUUGGGGGGGGGGUCAUUAUUAAUGUAGGUCCUCCAACCCCCCCAUUUUCAGACCCCCCCCCCCCAAACCCCCCCAUAUCCCUUUAAACCCCCCCAUUUUAUUACUCCCCCCCCCCCCAAAUCCCCCCAUAUCCCUUUAACCCCCCCCCCAAAUUCUGCACUGUCCCUUUAAAUCCUCCCCCCCCCCCCCAUAUAUCAGUCAUUGGGGGGGGGUCAUUAUUAAGGUAGGUCCUCCAACCCCCCCAUUUUGGGACCCCCCCCCCAUAUACCCCCAUAUCCCUUUAAACCCCCCCAUUUUAUUACCCCCCCCCCAAAAAACUCCGCAGUGUCCCUUUAAAUGCCCCCCCCAUAUAUCAGACAAUGGGGGAGGGGCGUUAUUAUUGUCGGUCCUCCAACCCCCCCCAUAGGUCAGAUAUUGGGGUGUGGGGGGGUCGUUAUUAUUACAGACCCCCCCCCCAAUAAUAACGGCCCUUCCGUGACCCCCCCCCACCGCCCCCCCCCCAAAAAAAACCACCAAAACGACAAAAAACGACAAAAAAAACCCAAAACGGCGUCGGGGAAACGCAGUGGGAAAUAAAAGAGCCGCCGCUUCGCUGCGGGGUGCAGUGCCGCUCAGUCACCGCCAGGGGGCGCUGUGGGCAAUGCAGCCCUAUGGGGGCGCUGUGGGCGAUGCAGCCCUAUGGGGGCGCUGUGGGUGCAGUGCCGCUCAGUCACCGCCAGGGGGCGCUGUGGGCAAUGCAGCCCUAUGGGGGCGCUGUGGGCGAUGCAGCCCUAUGGGGGCGCUGUGGGUGCAGUGCCGCUCAGUCACCGCCAGGGGGCGCUGUGGGCAAUGCAGCCCUAUGGGGGCGCUGUGGGCGAUGCAGCCCUAUGGGGGCGCUGUGGGUGCAGUGCCGCUCAGUCACCGCCAGGGGGCGCUGUGGGCAAUGCAGCCCUAUGGGGGCGCUGUGGGCGAUGCAGCCCUAUGGGGGCGCUGUGGGUGCAGUGCCGCUCAGUCACCGCCAGGGGGCGCUGUGGGCAAUGCAGCCCUAUGGGGGCGCUGUGGGCAAUGCAGCCCUAUGGGGGCGCUGUGGGUAAUGCAGCCCUAUGGGGGCGCUGUGGGCGAUGCAGCCCUAUGGGGGCGCUGUGGG
Molecule: long non-coding RNA, 1410 nt
Filed under: Gallus gallus (chicken)
Lineage: Eukaryota; Metazoa; Chordata; Aves; Galliformes; Phasianidae
Description: lncRNA (ENSGALG00010000074.1)
Source: RNAcentral